CAGUGUUACAGCUCUUUUACAAUUUGUCUAGGAGGUCCUCUAAUCUCUACCGGAAGCACCACC
This 63-nucleotide small nuclear RNA is filed under the name Erinaceus europaeus (western European hedgehog). Its description in RNAcentral is "U7 small nuclear RNA". It matches the Rfam family "U7 small nuclear RNA". From Rfam's summary of the family: Animal histone pre-mRNAs are spliced by a different mechanism than nuclear pre-mRNAs and self-splicing introns. Lineage: Eukaryota; Metazoa; Chordata; Mammalia; Eulipotyphla; Erinaceidae. The record is from Rfam by way of RNAcentral.